This 87-nucleotide transfer RNA is filed under the name Patescibacteria group bacterium. RNAcentral's name for it is "tRNA-Leu". It matches the Rfam family "tRNA". From Rfam's summary of the family: Transfer RNA (tRNA) molecules are approximately 80 nucleotides in length. The record is from RNAcentral.
GCCGGGGUGGUGGAAUUGGCAGACACACCAGCUUUAGGAGCUGGCGGGAGCAAUCCUGUGAAGGUUCGAGUCCUUUCCCCGGCACCA